UCUCCGUAGGUGAACCUGCGGAGGGAUCAUUACUGAGUGAGGGCUCACGCCCGACCUCCAACCCUUUGUGAACUACAACUCUGUUGCUUCGGGGGCGACCCCGCCGUUUCGGCGGUGGCGCUCCCGGAGGCCUUCAAACACUCCAUCUUUGCGUCGGAGUUUAAGUAAAUUAAACAAAACUUUCAACAACGGAUCUCUUGGUUCUGGCAUCGAUGAAGAACGCAGC
RNAcentral lists this unclassified non-coding RNA (226 nucleotides) under uncultured fungus. RNAcentral describes it as "sequence contains ITS1, 5.8S rRNA gene". The stretch from base 178 to 226 matches the Rfam family "5.8S ribosomal RNA", at positions 1 to 49 of the family's 154-position model. The record is from RNAcentral. Lineage: Eukaryota; Fungi.